GACGAACCGUCCUAACGUUGUUCGGAAUCACUGGGCUUAAAGGGCGCGUAGGCGGGCUGCCAAGUCCGGGGUGAAAUCUUUCGGCUCAACCGGAAAAUAGCCUUGGAUACUGGCGGUCUCGAGGGAGGCAGGGGCCGUUGGAACUUCCGGUGGAGCGGUGAAAUGCGUUGAUAUCGGAAGGAACGCCGGUGGCGAAAGCGAACGGCUGGACCUCUUCUGACGCUGAGGCGCGAAAGCUUGGGGAGCGAACGGG
RNAcentral lists this ribosomal RNA (253 nucleotides) under uncultured bacterium. RNAcentral describes it as "partial 16S ribosomal RNA". It matches the Rfam family "Bacterial small subunit ribosomal RNA", at positions 524 to 776 of the family's 1533-position model. The record is from RNAcentral.